Long non-coding RNA from Branchiostoma floridae (Florida lancelet), 557 nucleotides. RefSeq lists it as uncharacterized. The transcript has 3 exons. The record is from RefSeq and is a predicted model, not a curated record. Lineage: Eukaryota; Metazoa; Chordata; Leptocardii; Amphioxiformes; Branchiostomatidae.
GGUCAUCCUCACCAAUCGCCCCAGGUGAUACAGUACCUCUGCUUGGACAAUUUUGAGAAAACUUUCAAGUUUGAAGGACUGUUUCAGAGACCUCUGAGGUAAAAUUUGGGACCAUCUUCAACAGCCCUACACCCUGACCUGUUGAGCUGUAAGAAGUGUCCUGUGCAUCGUCUCAAAAGGAACUGGAAGUCAAAUCCUGCUGGUUAAAGCUGAGAUCAUCUCCACUGGUCUACAGGCUCGAGAUGAAGAAAUAAGCAGGAACUUGCUGCUGCUGUUAUCUUUCUGCUAUGUGAUUGAUUUGUGGCUCAUUCAUAUAUUGUAUACAACACUUCAGAUUGGUUUUAUCCAUUUUUCUUUGGGUGGGAGGAGUAGGACCUGUAUUCAUUAGCAUGUUUGGCAGGAGUCAUCAGAUAGUGUUUAAAGGAUUUGUGAUAAGACUAAACCACUGGGAGAAGGGUGCAACAAAGAGUAAUUAUGAACCAUCAUGAUGUUUAGGAUGUGAGUUUUAAAGUCUUUUUUUUUUACAAUUGAUAGAAGGAUACUUAAGACCAGAUCAA